CCUAUUAAGUUUAGGAGAUCAAAAUCUUUAUAAAUACCCAUAUAUUAUAUGUGUUUCAGUUUUGGAGAAUUCAAUUAAUAAAUUUCCAGCAAAGAAUUUCUCUCAAUUUUUCAUUCGUAUAUGAGUGUGCUAUAUUUCUAAACUUCACGCUGCUCAGGUGGUAUCAGAGUGCAAAAAUCACCCAAAUCGAGAUGGCUUACCUUGAUGGAGGUGGCGAUUAUAGUGGUGAUCGGAGAACUAGAGCCCUUCACCAUAGGGAUGAAUUGUUGCAACGAUGGGAGCGACGUUCGGAGCAAUAGAUGGAUCUCAGAUUCGAGCGUGUCAAGAGAUGCCUCGAAGCAAUUGUAGGUCGUUUGGGUGCUUUGUGAACUAAAACAAACAAGAAUUGUGUUGACAAAAGAAGGCCAGGAAAUGGUGUAGCUAGUGGUGACCCUAUUUAUCAAUCAAUUUCUGUAAAUAGGCAAAAUGUCUACUAUAAUGAUUCAGAGGAGGAAUCAAUCAAGUUCAAUAGGCAU
RNAcentral lists this unclassified non-coding RNA (515 nucleotides) under Hevea brasiliensis (rubber tree). The record is from RNAcentral. Lineage: Eukaryota; Viridiplantae; Streptophyta; Magnoliopsida; Malpighiales; Euphorbiaceae.